Molecule: long non-coding RNA, 1972 nt
Filed under: Mus caroli (Ryukyu mouse)
Lineage: Eukaryota; Metazoa; Chordata; Mammalia; Rodentia; Muridae
Description: RIKEN cDNA 9530036M11 gene (MGP_CAROLIEiJ_G0003862.1)
Source: RNAcentral
AGUCUACUGUCCAACUCAUUUCGACUUAUUUGGACUUGGAAAGAAACACUUCUCAGUCUGCAAUGAGCAACUCCAGACACUUGUAAAGUUGGACCAACCACAAGAAGGCUUUCCUCGAUUCACUGCAACUUCCCGGAAAUACAGCCCUGGUCACACUCUCAAAAGAAAAUGCUUCUGCAGGGUCUCUAUUUGAGUGAUUUCUGGCCACUCAGACUUCACACAGAGAGAAAAAGACCCUCAACACACUCCCCCACUCCCACCCUCAAGAGCGAGAACUUGCAGAACAAUGAGCCUUGCCUAAAAAAGGAAAUAUUUGCUGAAGUUGGACAGAGAAUGGUCAUGCAGAAAAUAUGGCUUAAACUGUUGCACUCUGAAGAGGACGGGGAGAGUCCUCUUCAUGAAGCCAUACAGAAACAAGGCUUGUUUUAAAGAUUCACAGCGUGAAGCAAAACCUCAGCUAUAAUCCCAACACUUUCAGGAGGACAAAACUGUGACUUUGAGACCGGCCCAAAGUACAAUCAUUAUGAGGCUAGCCAAGGGCUGUGUGGCAAGCUCUCAUCCAAAACAAAAACAAACAAACAACUCAAACAAAACUGAUUCACCGGUUGCAACAUUAGAAUUCCAAACGCUUCAGCGGCACCAUAGGCCCUAAUGGGCUCUGAGCCUACAGGGUACCAUUCACUUUUCUGCUCCAAACCUCUGCAGAUGCUGUGCCUAACAAUGAUGUGAUGCUAUCCAAGGCUGUUUCCUCGGAAAACACUGAUUUUUAAAACCUCCCCAUUCUGUGCAUUCUCUAGGAGUUAAAGGAAGCAAGAAAACGAAAAUCAAUCAGGCUACAGGAUGUAUCAAAAAUGCCUUUUCUCACAUCUUCCUUGCAAACAGGACUCCAUUCAUUCCCAUCAGAAUGAGGCAGGUAACAUGUGUUUCUCAACUUGGUGGAACAACAGACAGCAUCCUGGAGAGCUGCAGUAUUUCAAUCCAGUCACCAAACCACACAUAGAACUUCCUUCGCCUCUGCCUCUCUCUGAUAGCUAUUAGCUAAAGGAUCACAUAAAAAGCAGAAGAGGCCUUGGGCAGUUUGCUGUGGUUGGGACCAGAUAUCAGAAGUCUCCAUUCUGUUGGCAUCCUUGAUAGGAUGCUGAGGGACCUUCAGAGAAGGACACAGUCCCUACCUUGUUUCUAGGCUUCCCUGCCUAGAACAACAUUUGGAAAGCAACAAUGACCAAAAAGGAAACAGAACCCAAGGUAAGAAGAAUUGGAUGGAUAAGGACACCCAAAUGGUCCAAAUGAGUUUGAAACUCAAAUACCAGACAAGUUGUGCCCAGUUCAGAGGCCCCUUCCUUGCAGAGCCUUUGAAGAAAGUGUGAUCCAUAAGGGUUGGGCUAGAAGAAAGGCAAGUUUUGAAGCUGGGUUGGGGUGAGUGGAGUGGAGAAUCUCUCUAACAGCUACAAGCUGAUUCCAGAGAUAAUAAAUGAGACAGAUUAUAAGGGAAUGAGCCUGGUGAUGCCUGGGUGCCAGCCUCGCCUCCAUAAAAAGGAAAAAGCCAGACACUUCUUUCCAAGUAAAAGCCACACAGAGGGGGACCAGUAAAAGUGGAGCAGACAAGAGGGACCUCAGCAAAGAAUUCUGGACAUGAUUAUUAUGACCAUAAGACAAAAACCAGUACUAGAUCAACUGGCUGACUGGCAGCCAUGCACUAGUUAGAGGAAAAAAAUUAUUUCUUGGUCUUACCUCAGUAAUCUUUGACCAAUAACAAAAGUAUUCUUAUCAAAACUGUCCCUGGAGACUGGAGAGAUGUUUCAGUGGUAAAGAGCACUGGUUGCUUUUCCAAAGACCCUGGGUUCAAUUCCCAGCUCCCACAUGGCAACUCAAAACUCCAGUUCCAGAGGAUUGGACACCCUCAUAAAGACAUAUAUGCAGGCAAAACACCAGUGCACAUAAAAUGAAAAAUAAGGAUAAAUAAAUCAUUUUU